Molecule: ribosomal RNA, 460 nt
Filed under: uncultured bacterium
Lineage: Bacteria
Description: partial 16S ribosomal RNA
Rfam family: Bacterial small subunit ribosomal RNA
Source: RNAcentral
CCUACGGGAGGCAGCAGUGAGGAAUAUUGGUCAAUGGGCGCGAGCCUGAACCAGCCAUGUCGCGUGCAGGAAGACGGCCCUACGAGUUGUAAACUUCUUUUGUAAGAGGAUAAAGUCAGACACGCGUAUCUUUUUGUAUGUACCUUACGAAUAAGGAUCGGCUAACUCCGUUCCAGCAGCCGCGGUAAUACGGAGGAUCCGAGCGUUAUCCGGAUUUAUUGGGUUUAAAGGGUGCGUAGGGGGGUGGUUAAGUGAGUUGUGAAAGUUUGAGGCUCAACCGUAGAAUUGCCGUUGAUACUGGUAGGCUAGAGUAGAGUUGAGGUAGGCGGAAUGCGUGGUGUAGCGGUGAAAUGCUUAGAUAUCACGAAGAACUCCGAUUGCGAAGGCAGCAUACCAAACUGCUACUGACGUUGAGGCACGAAAGCGUGGGGAUCAAACAGGAUUAGAUACCCUGGUAGUC